AGAGUUUGAUCCUGGCUCAGGACGAACGCUGGCGGCGUGCUCAACACAUGCAAGUCGAACGCUGAAGCCCAGCUUGCUGGGUGGAUGAGUGGCGAACGGGUGAGUAACACGUGAGUAACCUGCCCUUCACUUCGGGAUAACUC
RNAcentral lists this ribosomal RNA (143 nucleotides) under uncultured bacterium. RNAcentral describes it as "partial 16S ribosomal RNA". It matches the Rfam family "Bacterial small subunit ribosomal RNA", at positions 8 to 149 of the family's 1533-position model. The record is from RNAcentral.